RNAcentral lists this ribosomal RNA (497 nucleotides) under uncultured bacterium. RNAcentral's name for it is "partial 16S ribosomal RNA". It matches the Rfam family "Bacterial small subunit ribosomal RNA", at positions 28 to 507 of the family's 1533-position model. The record is from RNAcentral.
GAUGAACGCUGGCGGCGUGCCUAAUACAUGCAAGUCGAGCGAACGGACGAGAAGCUUGCUUCUCUGAUGUUAGCGGCGGACGGGUGAGUAACACGUGGAUAACCUACCUAUAAGACUGGGAUAACUUCGGGAAACCGGAGCUAAUACCGGAUGAUAUUUUGAACCGCAUGGUUCAAAAGUGAAAGACGGUCUUGCUGUCACUUAUAGAUGGAUCCGCGCUGCAUUAGCUAGUUGGUAAGGUAACGGCUUACCAAGGCAACGAUGCAUAGCCGACCUGAGAGGGUGAUCGGCCACACUGGAGCUGAGACACCGUCCAGACUCCUACGGGAGGCAGCAGUAGGGAAUCUCCCGCAAUGGGCGAAAGCCUGACGGAGCAACGCCGCGUGAGUGAUGAAGGUCUUCGGAUCGUAAAACUCUGUUAUUAGGGAAGAACAUAUGUGUAAGUAACUGUGCACAUCUUGACGGUACCUAAUCAGAAAGCCACGGCUAACUACGUG